GUUGACCUCGAAUCAGGUAGGAAUACCCGCUGAACUUAAGCAUAUCAAUAAGCGGAGGAAAAGAAACCAACAGGGAUUGCCCCAGUAACGGCGAGUGAAGCGGCAACAGCUCAAAUUUGAAAUCUGGCUCUCGGGCCCGAGUUGUAAUUUGUAGAGGAUGCUUUUGGUGAGGUGCCUUCCGAGUUCCCUGGAACGGGACGCCAUAGAGGGUGAGAGCCCCGUCUGGUUGGACACCGAUCCUCUGUAAAGCUCCUUCGACGAGUCGAGUAGUUUGGGAAUGCUGCUCUAAAUGGGAGGUAUAUGUCUUCUAAAGCUAAAUACCGGCCAGAGACCGAUAGCGCACAAGUAGAGUGAUCGAAAGAUGAAAAGAACUUUGAAAAGAGAGUUAAACAGUACGUGAAAUUGUUGAAAGGGAAGCGCUUGUGACCAGACUUGGGCUUGGUUGAUCAUCCGGGGUUCUCCCCGGUGCACUCUUCCGGCCCAGGCCAGCAUCAGUUCGCCCUGGGGGACAAAGGCUUCGGGAAUGUGGCUCUCUCCGGGGAGUGUUAUAGCCCGUUGCGUAAUACCCUGUGGCGGACUGAGGUUCGCGCAU
RNAcentral lists this ribosomal RNA (592 nucleotides) under Fusarium sp. VSMU-T123. RNAcentral's name for it is "eukaryotic LSU rRNA". It matches the Rfam family "Eukaryotic large subunit ribosomal RNA", at positions 1 to 602 of the family's 3401-position model. Lineage: Eukaryota; Fungi; Ascomycota; Sordariomycetes; Hypocreales; Nectriaceae. The record is from RNAcentral.